CAGAGCCCCUCCAAAGCUCUUUUAGCGCUCCCCCAUAGCAGAGCACCCCGGGCGCUCUCCCAGAGCACCGGGAGACCACCCUGAUGGCACCCCUCGUUCUUCCACCCCCAGCGCCCUCUCCCUGAGACGGAGAAAGAGAGAGACAGAGGGAAAGCCAUCACUGCAGUGCUGCAGCGUUCUGGAAUGGUCCUCCCACCGUCUUGCAUGACGCUCCCGUGUGACACCAGAGGCUGGAGCCCGGGUCCUCAAACGUGUUGAAGCGUGCCCCUUGCUGGACUGUGGCGAAAUGAGCACUGGAGAGGGCAGACGGAAGGAAGAAGCCAUAAGUUCAUAAAGGGUAUGUCUAGAAAACACUCUUCAUGCCCUUACUCCAAGUGUCCUACAGCAGGUGAGUGCCCGAGAAAGCUGUGGUCUAUAUCCACAAUGGAAUACUAUUCAGUUAUGAAAAAAAAACGAGGAAUUCACCUUCUUCACCUCAUCUUGGAUGGAGCUUGAAGGAACCAUGUGAAGUGAGAUCAGCCAGGAAGAGAAUGACUAUGGGGUGAUCCCACUCAGAGACAGAAGUUAAAAAAUAAGAACAGGAAGCAGGGAAGAGAAAGUAGAUUUGGGCUGAGUUUGCUGUAUGGCACCAAAGUAAAGGACUUUGGGGAGGUGGGGGUAGCUUUCAGGUCAUGGACAUGAUGGUGGAGGAGGACCUAGGCUGGGGGUGAGAAUGUUUGCUGGAAACAGAAAUUUUACACAUGUACCAACAACUGUAUUUAAUGUUGAGUCUAAACCCUCAAUAAAAGAGUACAUUCAAAAAGAGCUUCCUGGGGAGCCAGGCGGUAGCACAGCGGGUUAAACGCAGAUGGCGCAAAGCACAAGGACUGGCAGAAGGAUC
This is a long non-coding RNA of Erinaceus europaeus (western European hedgehog), 880 nucleotides long. RefSeq lists it as uncharacterized. NCBI's taxonomy places the organism in Eukaryota, Metazoa, Chordata, Mammalia, Eulipotyphla, Erinaceidae. The transcript is spliced from 3 exons. The record is from RefSeq and is a predicted model, not a curated record.